RNAcentral lists this transfer RNA (78 nucleotides) under Halobacteroides halobius DSM 5150. Its description in RNAcentral is "tRNA-Arg (CCT) (tRNA-Arg-CCT-1-1)". It matches the Rfam family "tRNA". From Rfam's summary of the family: Transfer RNA (tRNA) molecules are approximately 80 nucleotides in length. Lineage: Bacteria; Bacillati; Bacillota; Clostridia; Halanaerobiales; Halobacteroidaceae. The record is from RNAcentral.
GGGGCUAUAGCUCAGGCUGGAUAGAGCGACAGACUCCUAAUCUGUAGGUCGCAGGUUCAAAUCCUGCUAGUCCCACCA